AGCAGCCGCGGUAAUUCCAGCUCCAAUAGCGUAUAUUAAAGUUGUCGCAGUUAAAAAGCUCGUAGUUGAAUUUCGGGGUCAGUAGGCUGGUCGUGCCACAGGUAUGUACUGGUCUCACUGAUUCCUCCUUCCUGAUGAACCGUAAUGCCAUUAAUUUGGUGUUGCGGGGAAUCUGGACUGUUACUUUAGAAAAAAUUAGAGUGUUUAAAGCAGGCUAACGCUUGAAUACAUUAGCAUGGAAUAAUGAAAUAGGACGAUCGAUCCUAUUUUGUUGGUUUCUAGGAUUGACGUAAUGAUUAAUAGGGAUAGUUGGGGGCAUUAGUAUUCAAUUGUCAGAGGUGAAAUUCUUGGAUUUAUUGAAGACUAACUACUGCGAAAGCAUUUGCCAAGGAUGUUUUCAUUAAUCAAGAACGAAAGUUAGGGGAUCGAAGACGAUCAGAUACCGUCGUAGUCUUAACCAUAAACUAUGCCGACUAGGGAUCGGAUGAUGUUUAAU
RNAcentral lists this ribosomal RNA (496 nucleotides) under uncultured Glomus. RNAcentral describes it as "SSU rRNA". It matches the Rfam family "Eukaryotic small subunit ribosomal RNA", at positions 569 to 1068 of the family's 1831-position model. Lineage: Eukaryota; Fungi; Glomeromycota; Glomeromycetes; Glomerales; Glomeraceae. The record is from RNAcentral.